AGUCGACGGCAGCACGGGAGCAAUCCUGGUGGCGAGUGGCGAACGGGUGAGUAAUGUAUCGGAACGUACCUUUCAGUGGGGGAUAACGUAGCGAAAGUUACGCUAAUACCGCAUAUUCUGUGAGCAGGAAAGCAGGGGAUCGCAAGACCUUGCGCUGAUUGAGCGGCCAAUAUCAGAUUAGCUAGUUGGUGAGGUAAAGGCUCACCAAGGCGACGAUCUGUAGCGGGUCUGAGAGGAUGAUCCGCCACACUGGAACUGAGACACGGUCCAGACUCCUACGGGAGGCAGCAGUGGGGAAUUUUGGACAAUGGGGGCAACCCUGAUCCAGCCAUGCCGCGUGAGUGAAGAAGGCCUUCGGGUUGUAAAGCUCUUUCAGCCGGGAAGAAAUCACAUGGGUUAAUACCCUGUGUGGAUGACGGUACCGGAAUAAGAAGCACCGGCUAACUAUGUGCCAGCAGCCGCGGUAAUACGUAGGGUGCGAGCGUUAAUCGGAAUUACUGGGCGUAAAGCGUGCGCAGGCGGUUUGUUAAGAUAGGCGUGAAAUCCCCGGGCUCAACCUGGGAACUGCGUUUAUGACUGGCAGGCUAGAGUAUGGCAGAGGGGGGUGGAAUUCCACGUGUAGCAGUGAAAUGCGUAGAGAUGUGGAGGAACACCGAUGGCGAAGGCAGCCCCCUGGGCCAAUACUGACGCUCAUGCACGAAAGCGUGGGUAGCAAACAGGAUUAGAUACCCUGGUAGU
Molecule: ribosomal RNA, 738 nt
Filed under: uncultured bacterium
Lineage: Bacteria
Description: bacterial SSU rRNA
Rfam family: Bacterial small subunit ribosomal RNA
Source: RNAcentral